RNAcentral lists this long non-coding RNA (729 nucleotides) under Panax ginseng (ginseng). RNAcentral describes it as "long non-coding RNA (PGIN_LNC010507)". Lineage: Eukaryota; Viridiplantae; Streptophyta; Magnoliopsida; Apiales; Araliaceae. The record is from RNAcentral.
CAGUCUGCUCCGCCGCGGCGCCGCUCCGGUCUUCUUCUUCGGUCUCUUCUUCGCAAUCAUCGUGAGUAUUUCUCCUCAAUUUUUUCAGCUAAUCACUAAUUGCAUUUAUAAAUUUUGAAGCUGAGCAACUGAUUUAGUAUUAUGUCUUCUUUUUUUCUGUAUAGCCGUUCAAGCAUUUGGGUCUUUUUGUUAAUUUUCUAUCCUCAUUUUGUUCUAUGGCAGAUGUGAUGAAAAUCUCUUAUUUCUAGCUGUCUGGUAUAAUUGAAUGAGUCAAGUAAAUUUAAUUGGCUUGUCAUUUCGAGACCUCAGAGUUAAUCCAUCAGAUCAAUGACAUUUGCUUUAUGGGUCUCUAUGAAUCACUUGUAAAAAUAGGCUGUUCUCUUUGUUAUUUUCCAGCUACAAAACUUAUAGCAAUGUCUUAUUCUAUUUUGUUGAGUACAACUCUUAGUUUAUUUGAUUUUUUUUGCAAGUUGUUUUUAUAAUUUUGUAAAUGUAUACUUUGACAAUUUGAUUGGAUGAAGUUCACAUAAUACUUUCAAUUAGAAAGACAUUAAAAACAAAUAUGAAAUAAGAUGGGAACUAGACUGACUUUGACAAUUUAAAAAGGGGUUGAGUUGUUUGUACUCCAGGAUUACCUUCUCAAAUUAUUCCUAAUUAGGAAUGCUUUUGUUUUGGUAGGAGACUUGAUCUCCCAGUUUGGUCACAAACAUGUAAACGAGUAGGAAUGUG